This 492-nucleotide ribosomal RNA is filed under the name uncultured bacterium. Its description in RNAcentral is "partial 16S ribosomal RNA". It matches the Rfam family "Bacterial small subunit ribosomal RNA", at positions 29 to 507 of the family's 1533-position model. The record is from RNAcentral.
AGUGAACGCUGGCGGUAGGCCUAACACAUGCAAGUCGAACGGCAGCACAGUAAGAGCUUGCUCUUACGGGUGGCGAGUGGCGGACGGGUGAGGAAUACAUCGGAAUCUACUUUUUCGUGGGGGAUAACGUAGGGAAACUUACGCUAAUACCGCAUACGACCUACGGGUGAAAGCAGGGGAUCUUCGGACCUUGCGCGAUUGAAUGAGCCGAUGUCGGAUUAGCUAGUUGGCGGGGUAAAGGCCCACCAAGGCGACGAUCCGUAGCUGGUCUGAGAGGAUGUUAAGGCAGAAUGGAACUGGGAGACGGUCCAGAUUCCUAUGGGCAGCAGCAGUAGGUAAUAUUUGACGAUGUGCGCAAGCCUGGUCCAGCCAUACCGCGUGGGUUAAGAAGGCCUUCGGGUUGUGAAGCCGUUUUGUUGAGAAAGAAAAGCAGCAGGUUAAUACACCGCUGUUCUGACGGUACCAAAAGAAUAAGCACCGGCUAACUUCGUG